CCUACGGGGGGCUGCAGUGGGGAAUAUUGGACAAUGGGGGCAACCCUGAUCCAGCCAUGCCGCGUGUGUGAAGAAGGCCCUCGGGUUGUAAAGCACUUUCAGUGAGGAAGAACGCCUGGUGGUUAAUACCCAUCAGGAAAGACAUCACUCACAGAAGAAGCACCGGCUAACUCCGUGCCAGCAGCCGCGGUAAUACGGAGGGUGCGAGCGUUAAUCGGAAUUACUGGGCGUAAAGCGCGCGUAGGUGGCUUGAUAAGCCGGUUGUGAAAGCCCCGGGCUCAACCUGGGAACAGCAUCCGGAACUGUGAAGCUUGAGUGCAGGAGAGGAAGGUAGAAUUCCCGGUGUAGCGGUGAAAUGCGUAGAGAUCGGGAGGAAUACCAGUGGCGAAGGCGGCCUUCUGGACUGACACUGACACUGAGGUGCGAAAGCGUGGGUAGCAAACAGGAUUAGAUACCCUUGUAGUC
Molecule: ribosomal RNA, 465 nt
Filed under: Vreelandella stevensii
Lineage: Bacteria; Pseudomonadati; Pseudomonadota; Gammaproteobacteria; Oceanospirillales; Halomonadaceae
Description: partial 16S ribosomal RNA
Rfam family: Bacterial small subunit ribosomal RNA
Source: RNAcentral